RNAcentral lists this ribosomal RNA (447 nucleotides) under uncultured bacterium. Its description in RNAcentral is "SSU rRNA". It matches the Rfam family "Bacterial small subunit ribosomal RNA", at positions 26 to 518 of the family's 1533-position model. The record is from RNAcentral.
AGAGCGAACGCUGGCGGCAGGCUUAACACAUGCAAGUCGAGCGGGCGUAGCAAUACGUCAGCGGCAGACGGGUGAGUAACGCGUGGGAACAUACCUUUUGGUUCGGAACAACCCAGGGAAACUUGGGCUAAUACCGGAUAAGCCCUUACGGGGAAAGAUUUAUCGCCAAAAGAUUGGCCCGCGUCUGAUUAGCUAGUUGGUGAGGUAACGGCUCACCAAGGCGACGAUCAGUAGCUGGUCUGAGAGGAUGAUCAGCCACAUUGGGACUGAGACACGGCCCAAACUCCUACGGGAGGCAGCAGUGGGGAAUAUUGGACAAUGGGCGCAAGCCUGAUCCAGCCAUGCCGCGUGAGUGAUGAAGGCCCUAGGGUUGUAAAGCUCUUUUACCCGGGAAGAUAAUGACGGUACCGGGAGAAUAAGCCCGGCUAACUUCGUGCCAGCAGCUGC